UGAAUUUGGUAACCCGUGUUUUAAUAGGGAAAACAGUAAAAUCUGUUACAGCCCCCGCUACUGUGAAAGGUGAUAAAACUCAUAGCCACUGUGAAAAUGGGAAGGCGAGUUUUAAAUGAGCCGAAAGUCAGGAAACCUGCCAAGUUUG
This 148-nucleotide non-coding RNA is filed under the name uncultured Sedimentibacter sp. The record is from RNAcentral. Lineage: Bacteria; Bacillati; Bacillota; Tissierellia.